GGCGUGACCUAGAGAGAGAAGGAGGAGAAGAAAGAAAGGAAGAAGAAGAAGAAAAAGGGGUUCAAGCUAGGGGUUUGAGCAAGGAGGAUUAUUGGACUCUUGGUUGGAUUUGAUUCUUGAUUUUCUAUCAAGAAGAGGUAGCAAAUAGGAUUUCUUUAUGGCACGCGUGGUGACGUGAGGAGUUCUUUCAUCAUGGGGUGUAUGGCGUGGGGUAAUCCUAUGGACGGAAAAACGAUCAACGUAG
Long non-coding RNA from Humulus lupulus (European hop), 244 nucleotides. RefSeq lists it as uncharacterized. The transcript is spliced from 3 exons. The record is from RefSeq and is a predicted model, not a curated record. NCBI's taxonomy places the organism in Eukaryota, Viridiplantae, Streptophyta, Magnoliopsida, Rosales, Cannabaceae.